CACACCGCCCGUCACGCCAUGGAAGUUGGAGCGCCCGAAGUCCGUGCGCCAACCUUAGGGAGGCAGCGGCCGAAGGCGAGCUCGAUGACUGGGGCG
RNAcentral lists this ribosomal RNA (96 nucleotides) under uncultured bacterium. RNAcentral describes it as "partial 16S ribosomal RNA". It matches the Rfam family "Bacterial small subunit ribosomal RNA", at positions 1386 to 1482 of the family's 1533-position model. The record is from RNAcentral.